UUCUUCGGAUUGUAAACUCCUGUUGCCCGGGACGAAUGGCUCCGACCUAACACGUCGGAGUGUGACGGUACCGGGUGAGGAAGCCCCGGCUAACUCUGUGCCAGCAGCCGCGGUAAUACAGAGGGGGCAAGCGUUGUUCGGAAUUACUGGGCGUAAAGGGCGCGUAGGCGGCCUGCUAAGUCGAACGUGAAAUCCCUGGGCUCAACCCAGGAACUGCGUCCGAUACUGGUUGGCUUGAAUUCGGGAGAGGGAUGCGGAAUUCCAGGUGUAGCGGUGAAAUGCGUAGAUAUCUGGAGGAACACCGGUGGCGAAGGCGGCAUCCUGGACCGAUAUUGACGCUGAUGCGCGAAAGCCAGGGGAGCAAACGGGAUUAGAUACCCCGGUAGUCCUGGCCCUAAACGAUGAAUGCUUGGUGUCCGGGGUUACAUAGUCCCCGGGUGCCGGCGCUAACGCAUUAAGUAUCCCGCCUGGGGAGUACGGUCGCAAGACUGAAACUCAAAGGAAUUGACGGGGACCCGCACAAGCGGUGGAGCAUGUGGUUUAAUUCGACGCAACGCGAAGAACCUUACCUGGGCUAGAAUGCCUCUGACAACCCUGGAGACAGGGCCUUCUGGGUAAAACCAGACAGAGUGCAAGGUGCUGCAUGGCUGUC
RNAcentral lists this ribosomal RNA (652 nucleotides) under uncultured Acidobacteriaceae bacterium. RNAcentral describes it as "bacterial SSU rRNA". It matches the Rfam family "Bacterial small subunit ribosomal RNA", at positions 414 to 1053 of the family's 1533-position model. The record is from RNAcentral. Lineage: Bacteria; Pseudomonadati; Acidobacteriota; Terriglobia; Terriglobales; Acidobacteriaceae.